Molecule: small RNA, 796 nt
Filed under: Histoplasma capsulatum var. duboisii H88
Lineage: Eukaryota; Fungi; Ascomycota; Eurotiomycetes; Onygenales; Ajellomycetaceae
Description: Histoplasma capsulatum H88 hypothetical RNA
Source: RNAcentral
CCCCAUUCAAAGCAUUCAUUUUUCUGACCAAUUUCCCCUUGUGUGCGACAUCAAACGACAGUUAUAUAUAUCCUGUAGCUGAUGCAGGAUUACCUUGGACCACAAGGUGCGCCUUCAAAACCAUACAUUCUUUGUUCAUCGAACUUUUACCUGAACUACCUCGCUGAUUAUCAAUUGAACAUGCAUCAGAGCCGGCGUCCGGCUAUGUAAUCUACAUUCUUUCGUUACAACCGUUUACGUUAUUUGUCUCUUCUGAUAUAUGGACAUAAACCAGUCAGAAGUUUGGGGGGACAUAUGGAUAGUCUACAAUCAAAGUAAUAUAUGAUUUCCCUGAAAAAGAUCACGAGCUGGAAUAGGUGAUGUUCUCCAAUAUCAAUAUGCAGAAGAACUGCCACCAGCCAGCCGCUAUCUUCAACGUCUGAGGCUAGGGUAGCUCAGAAGGAGCAGUCCUUAAGAUUAUCCACCAGUGGAGCAUCCUAGCAAUAAUAUUGAGUAUACAUGACAAUCCAUUUUUGUUAAUUAUGCGAACGCUUGGGAUGUGUUUUGCGACCUACAUAGGCGACAAAUCGACUCAGCAGCCUAUAGGCUACGCAACACAACGGCCUCGGGAAGUCUUUUGAUUAUAUGGAUGACAUGACGCAAAGGUGGGCCAGGAAGGCAUGGCAUUCAUAUAGGUUUCCCCGGUUCGCUUCCAGAUCUCUCCAGCCAUCUGUUUCGACGGUGGGCAAUCUCAAUGACAACCGCUGUGCCUGCCUCCCUCCUUCUCUGGCUGAUAAAAGCCGAAGCGCAACAUCCU